AGCUUUGCGCAGUGGCAGUAUCGUAGCCAAUGAGGUUUAUCCGAGGCGCGAUUAUUGCUAAUUAAAGCCAUCCCUAGUCAGGCAAUAUUUAAUAAUCAUAGACUAAUCAUCUAAUCGUCUUGGACAAUGGUCAAGCAU
Small nuclear RNA from Neofelis nebulosa (Clouded leopard), 138 nucleotides. RefSeq annotates it as U4 spliceosomal RNA. Lineage: Eukaryota; Metazoa; Chordata; Mammalia; Carnivora; Felidae. The transcript has a single exon. The record is from RefSeq and is a predicted model, not a curated record.